RNAcentral lists this ribosomal RNA (1248 nucleotides) under Triticum aestivum (bread wheat). RNAcentral describes it as "partial small subunit ribosomal RNA". The record is from RNAcentral. Lineage: Eukaryota; Viridiplantae; Streptophyta; Magnoliopsida; Poales; Poaceae.
AUGUUAUAUUCAUGCCCCAAUCAUGAGCUCCCAAGAGAAAUAAUUAUUCAAAGUUUUUAUGCUCGGCUUUCUGAUAACAAUCGCACCAUGCUCGAUACUUCUUGUGCUGGCUCUUUUAUGAUAAAGACUAUUGAAUUCAAAUGGAACUUAUUGGAAAGAAUUAAACACAACUCUGAAGAUUGGGAUCUCGACGAAGGUAAGGAGUCAGGUAUGACACCUAAGUUUGAUUGUGUUAAAUCUUUUAUGGAUACCGAUGUUUUCCAUAAAUUUAGCACUAAAUAUGGACUUGACUCUGAGAUAGUAGCUUCUUUCUGUGAAUCUUUUGCUGCUCACGUUGAUCUCCCUAACGAGAAGUGGUUUAAAUAUCAUCCUCCCAUAGAAGUAAAAGUAGCUGCACCUAUUAAAGUUGAAGAAAAGACUAUCACUUAUAAUGAUCCUAUUGUUCCUACUGCUUAUGUUGAGAAACCACCUUUCCCUGUUAGAAUAAAGGAUCAUGCUAAAGCUUCAACUGUGGUUCGUAAAAGCAAUAUUAGAACCUAUACACCUCCUGAGCAAGUUAAAGUUGAACAUAAUAUUGCUAUUGUUAAAGAUCUCUUGGCUGAUAAUAUUGAUGGGCAUGUUAUUUAUUUCCGUGAAGAGACUGCUAGAAUUGCUAAACCUUGUGCUAAAUAUAAACAUAGACCUAUGGUAGGCAUGCCUGUUAUUUCUGUUAAAAUAGGAGAUCAUUGUUAUCAUGGCUUAUGUGACAUGGGUGCUAGUGCUAGUGCAAUACCUAUUGACUUAUAUAAAGAAAUUAUGCAUGAUAUUGCACCUACUGAGUUAGAAGAUAUUGAUGUCACAAUUAAACUUGCCAAUAGGGAUACUAUUUCACCCAUGGGAAUUAUUAGAGAUGUUGAAGUCUUGUGUGGGAAAACUAAAUAUCCUGCUGAUUUUCUCGUUCUUGGUUCCCCACAAGAUAGCUUUUGUCCCAUUAUAUUUGGUAGAGCCUUCUUGAACACUGUUAAUGCUAAGAUAGACUGUGAAAAGGAUGUUGUUACUAUUGGUUUGGGUGAUAUGUCUCAUGAGUUUAAUUUCUCUAAAUUUAGUAGACAACACCGUGAAGAAGAAUUGCCUAGUAAGGAUGAAAUUACUGGUCUUGCUUCUAUUGCCGUACCUCCUAGUGAUCCUUUAGAACAAUAUUUGCUAGACCAUGAAAAUGAUAUGUUUAUGAAUGAAAGAAGGGAAAUAGAUGAAUUAUUCUUUAAAUAG